This 493-nucleotide ribosomal RNA is filed under the name uncultured bacterium. RNAcentral describes it as "partial 16S ribosomal RNA". It matches the Rfam family "Bacterial small subunit ribosomal RNA", at positions 29 to 508 of the family's 1533-position model. The record is from RNAcentral.
AGUGAACGCUGGCGGUAGGCCUAACACAUGCAAGUCGAACGGCAGCACAGUAAGAGCUUGCUCUUACGGGUGGCGAGUGGCGGACGGGCGAGGAAUACAUCGGAAUCUACUUUUUCGUGGGGGAGAACGUAGGGAAACUUACGCUAAUACCGCAUACGACCUACGGGUGAAAGCAGGGGAUCUUCGGACCUUGCGCGAUUGAAUGAGCCGAUGUCGGAUUAGCUAGUUGGCGGGGUAAAGGCCCACCAAGGCGACGAUCCGUAGCUGGUCUGAGAGGAUGAUCAGCCCCACUGAGACUGAGACCCGCUCCAGCCUCCUACGGGAGGGCGCAGUGCGGCAUCUUGGCCCAUGGGCGCAAGCCUGAUCCCGCCAUACCGCGGCGGUGAAGAAGGCCUUCGGGUUGUAAAGCCCUUUUGUUGGGCAAGAAAAGCAGCAGGUUCAUACCCCGCUGUUCUGCCGGUCCCCAAAGAAUAAGCACCGGCUCACUUCGUGC